Molecule: long non-coding RNA, 496 nt
Filed under: Nicotiana tabacum (common tobacco)
Lineage: Eukaryota; Viridiplantae; Streptophyta; Magnoliopsida; Solanales; Solanaceae
Description: long non-coding RNA (NTAB_LNC019318)
Source: RNAcentral
UUUAUUUCUCAUAGAGGAUUAGUUACAAUAUUUGGGAUUAUGGGAAUACAAAGAUGAGGAUUAAAAAUAUAUACACAAAAAUAUGAGUAGAGGAGUAAAAACAUGACAUUUACCCUGUAUAUUACAAAGAUUUCAGUCUCAAAUCCCCAACUAAUAUAAAGAGACUGCAUCUAACACUUAAUACAUUCACCAUUUCUCAAUUUAAAAUCUUUAGAUUCUUGAACAUCUUUUUUGACUGCAUAGUUUCUUUUUCUGUUUGCCACGGAUCUCUUCUUGCUUGGCUCUAUCUCUCGCCCAUGUUUUGGCUUGAAGAGCCUCAUAUUGGUGAAGGCAUGACCUUGUUUGUCAGAGAAAAAAGAUAGUCAAAGACAUGACAUCAACAGAAAAACAUAGAAGACUAACGAGUUUAAAUAAAAAGAGAAGAAAGACAAACCUAUAGAUCUUUCGUGAAACCGUCAAUGAUGGCAGAGUUUUGAAGAAACAUAGUCACUUUUUU